GACGAACGCUGGCGGCGUGCCUAACACAUGCAAGUCGAACGGAACUAAGUUUUCGGAUUUAGUUUAGUGGCGAACGGGUGAGUAACGCGUGAGGAACCUGCCUUUCAGUGGGGGACAACAGUUGGAAACGACUGCUAAUACCGCAUGAUGCAUCGGGAAGACAUCUUCCUGAUGCCAAAGAUUUAUCGCAUAAGGAUGGACUCGCGUCUGAUUAGAUAGUUGGUGGGGCAACGGCCUACCAAGUCGACGAUCAGUAGCCGGACUGAGAGGUUGAACGGCCACAUUGGAACUGAGAGACGGUCCAG
RNAcentral lists this ribosomal RNA (305 nucleotides) under uncultured bacterium. RNAcentral describes it as "bacterial SSU rRNA". It matches the Rfam family "Bacterial small subunit ribosomal RNA", at positions 28 to 334 of the family's 1533-position model. The record is from RNAcentral.